This 646-nucleotide ribosomal RNA is filed under the name uncultured fungus. RNAcentral's name for it is "eukaryotic LSU rRNA". The stretch from base 214 to 367 matches the Rfam family "5.8S ribosomal RNA". The record is from RNAcentral. Lineage: Eukaryota; Fungi.
AGAGUUUGGUUGUAGCUGGUCCCUAAUUAACUUGGGGGCAUGUGCACACCUUUCUCUUUCAUCCCAUACACACCUGUGCACCUGUGAGACAGAUGAGCUUCGAUAUAGAUGUCGCUCGAUGUGGACCUACUCUCUUUGGACUUCUGUCUACUUAAUCUAUAUAAACUCAAUUUAUUUUAAAAUGAAUGUAAUGGAUGUAACACAUCUAAUACUAAGUUUCAACAACGGAUCUCUUGGCUCUCGCAUCGAUGAAGAACGCAGCGAAAUGCGAUAAGUAAUGUGAAUUGCAGAAUUCAGUGAAUAGCUCGUAGAGUGCUCGUAGAUGUCGCUCCUUGGUAUUCCUUGGAGCAUGCCUGUUUGAGUAUCAUGAAAUCUUCAAAGUCAAACCUUUUGUUAACUCAAUUGGUUCUGCUUUGGUAUUGGAGGUCUAGCGCAGCUUCACACCUGCUCCUCUUUGUGCAUAUCGCGGAUCUCAGUGUUAUGCUUGGUUCCACUCAGCGUGAUAAGUUAUCUAAGCUUGAGGACACCCUGUUAAAAAGGGGUGGCCAAGGUAAAUGCAGAUGAACUGCUUCUAACAGUCCAUUGACUUGGAAUGAUCGCUCGUGAUAGAUCUGAUCUCAAAUCAGGUAGGACUACCCGCUGAACU